Molecule: signal recognition particle RNA, 302 nt
Filed under: Carlito syrichta (Philippine tarsier)
Lineage: Eukaryota; Metazoa; Chordata; Mammalia; Primates; Tarsiidae
Description: Metazoan signal recognition particle RNA (ENSTSYG00000031535.1)
Rfam family: Metazoan signal recognition particle RNA
About the family: The signal recognition particle (SRP) is a universally conserved ribonucleoprotein. It is involved in the co-translational targeting of proteins to membranes.
Source: RNAcentral
GCCUUGUCCAGCAUGGUGGUGUGCAUCUGUAGUCCCAGCUACUCGGGAGGCUGAGGCAGGAGGAUCACUUGAGCCCAGGAGUUCUGGGCUGUAGCGUUUUGCAGAUUGGGUGUUCACACUAAUUUCAGCAUCAAUGUGGUGAUCUCCUGGGAGUGAGGGCAAUAAGGUUGCCUAAGGAGGGAUGAACCAGCUCAACUCGGAAACAGAGCAGGUCAAAACUCCUGAGCUGAUCAGCAGCAGGGUCGCAUCUGUGAAUAGCCACUGCACUCCGGGCUGGGCAACAUAGCACGAUCCUAAUCUCC